UACAUAGGUCCCAAGCGUUGUUCGGAUUCACUGGGCGUAAAGGGUGCGUAGGUGGUUGCGCAAGUCUGAUGUGAAAUCUCCGGGCUCAACCCGGAAAUGGCAUUGGAGACUGCGUGGCUAGAGGGUUGGAGGGGGGACUGGAAUACUUGGUGUAGCAGUGAAAUGCGUAGAUAUCAAGUGGAACACCAGUGGCGAAGGCGAGUCCCUGGACAACACCUGACACUGAGGCACGAAAGCUAGGGUAGCAAACGGG
RNAcentral lists this ribosomal RNA (253 nucleotides) under uncultured bacterium. Its description in RNAcentral is "partial 16S ribosomal RNA". It matches the Rfam family "Bacterial small subunit ribosomal RNA", at positions 524 to 776 of the family's 1533-position model. The record is from RNAcentral.